GGCUUCUCGAGUUAUUCUCAUGUGACAUGCGAUUGUUAUUUUCAACAUCUCGUAACGUCUCAUUUUAUAUGUAUUUAAACGCAAAAUUUCCUAAUGCAUUUUUUUAUGUAGCUGUCAUUGCCAAAGUUUUGUUGCUGAUCUUGUCUAGGGCAACAUUCGGACUGUUCUGUGUCUGAUUUUUUAUGUUUAUUUUCUGUGUCAACAAGCUCAAUAUUUUUCAUUUUCUAAUUUUGCUUUGAGAGUUGCAUUUUUGCUAGGGUUUAGAAUUUUCUGGUUCUUAUUUUGUUGUCAAAUGAAUGUUUUACUUAGUUUUUAAUUUUUACAGCACACUUUGGUCUUUCGGAUUCACAUUUACUGUCAAUAAGAAUUGUCCUUUAUUAGCGAACAUCCUUAAUUAUGGAAAUCCUUUUACGAGGAGAUUCUUGAUUAUUUAUCCAAAAAUAACAAGUUAUAGC
RNAcentral lists this long non-coding RNA (455 nucleotides) under Mytilus galloprovincialis (Mediterranean mussel). Lineage: Eukaryota; Metazoa; Mollusca; Bivalvia; Mytilida; Mytilidae. The record is from RNAcentral.